Long non-coding RNA from Solea solea (common sole), 443 nucleotides. RefSeq lists it as uncharacterized. The record is from RefSeq and is a predicted model, not a curated record. NCBI's taxonomy places the organism in Eukaryota, Metazoa, Chordata, Actinopteri, Pleuronectiformes, Soleidae. The transcript has 2 exons.
GGUGAGGAGAGAAAGCUGCAAAAACAACAUUUUGAUGCUUCCUGGGGAUCAACCCAACCUCUGGCACAAAGGCCACAAAGUGGAUCAGUCCAAGAAGUGGGAAGGUGCAAGAGAAGUGGAACAGCAAUGUCAACCUUCAUGUCUCUGCACUUCUAAAAAGGUUAAUGGACUUUGAAUGCCUUUGAGCCCGUUUGCAAAAGAAACAAUAAUGGCACACUGUUUUGUAUAAAAAAAAACAAAAAAACAAUGGUUCCAAGAUGUGGUUAUUUUUUACACAUUUGACUUUGUUGCUGCAAAUUACAGUAGUUAAUUCAAAGUUACACUGUGUGGCUGCAAGUCUUGUGCAGUCUGGUGUAUGUUUAUGUGAGUUUGUUCAUGUCUGUGUGAGUUUGAAAAUAUACACAUCGGGUAUUGAGUGUUAAUAAAUGUUUUGUAUUGUUGCA